This is a non-coding RNA of Aspergillus puulaauensis, 127 nucleotides long. NCBI's taxonomy places the organism in Eukaryota, Fungi, Ascomycota, Eurotiomycetes, Eurotiales, Aspergillaceae. The record is from the annotation of a RefSeq genome assembly.
GCCCGCGUGGCGUAAUGGUAACGCGUUCGACUGUAAGUUGUUCUUAUUCAUAAAGUGGAUGCAAACAUCACUAACUCAAUCCUCAGUCUAAUCGAAAGAUUUGCGGGUUCGACCCCCGCCGUGGGUU